UGCUGCUGGCCCUUGAAGUGGCAGCCUGCUCUGUGAAGGCGGAUACCUGGUGCCCGCUCAGCGUCCUCUCACCAGGGAAGGGUGCAGCACCAAGGGCAUUUGGAGGUUCUCGGGAGGCAAGAACUUGAGCUCAUCAAAACAACCCAACUAAACCCACUGCUCCUGGUGACCUUCUGCGAUGAGAAGAACCUCUCUACAGACGACAUUACAGGUUCAAACAUGAGAGCCAGUGGGAGGAGGAGGAGCCGACUGCGACAUCUUCCUCCCAUGGAGCACCGGUGUGUUCGAACUGCCAACCUUCGGGUUCUCCACUGAGCACUUUCAUCACUGUGCCACCAGCCUUUCUCUAAGGUCUGUGUGAAAACCGGCAUGUGCAUCUGGAAGCCUGAACUCCACCUCAGCCCCAAGUGGCUUUUUAGCAAUAUGGUGGAGUCAGGUGUCGUGAAGAAGAUCCGGCAGGGCGUGAUUUUCGACAGUGUGAGAUGCUUUUAACGCACAACAACUUGUGUACAGGAAAAGCCCCGGUAAUCCUGCAGAGGGAGGUCCUGUGAUUCCCAUUUCACUGGUGAGGAAAAGCAAGCUCAGAGAAAUCGCUCACUUGCC
Long non-coding RNA from Echinops telfairi (small Madagascar hedgehog), 603 nucleotides. RefSeq lists it as uncharacterized. The transcript has 3 exons. NCBI's taxonomy places the organism in Eukaryota, Metazoa, Chordata, Mammalia, Afrosoricida, Tenrecidae. The record is from RefSeq and is a predicted model, not a curated record.